This 417-nucleotide long non-coding RNA is filed under the name Pan troglodytes (chimpanzee). RNAcentral's name for it is "lncRNA (ENSPTRG00000053704.1)". The record is from RNAcentral. Lineage: Eukaryota; Metazoa; Chordata; Mammalia; Primates; Hominidae.
CUAAAAUAACCCUUGUGAAAGUAUCCGAAACUAUCCGAAAUAUGGCAGCAAAGGGUAAUACUCUCAUACAAAUUCUGAUUGUUUAUAUUUUUUUCAUUAUUUUCUAGGAUCCUCAAAACAAUCGGAUUUUUCAAUGGCAAAAUGUGACUUCUUUCCGAAAUAUUACCCAACUCUCGUUCCAACUGAUUUCAGAACCAAUGUUUGGAGAUUACUGGAUUGUUGUGAAAAGAAACUCAAGGAAGACAGUGACACACCAAUUUGCUGUUAAAAGAUAUGUGCUGCCCAAGUUUGAAGUUACGGUCAAUGCACCACAAACAGUAACUAUUUCAGAUGAUGAAUUCCAAGUGGAUGUAUGUGCUAAUUGGAAAAUGGUUGUGUUUCUCAAAUUGUAAAUAGAAAAGUCUUCCAACUCUACCG